Molecule: ribosomal RNA, 631 nt
Filed under: Pseudarthrobacter oxydans
Lineage: Bacteria; Bacillati; Actinomycetota; Actinomycetes; Micrococcales; Micrococcaceae
Description: bacterial SSU rRNA
Rfam family: Bacterial small subunit ribosomal RNA
Source: RNAcentral
CGGGGAUUAGUGGCGAACGGGUGAGUAACACGUGAGUAACCUGCCCUUAACUCUGGGAUAAGCCUGGGAAACUGGGUCUAAUACCGGAUAUGACUCCUCAUCGCAUGGUGGGGGGUGGAAAGCUUUAUUGUGGUUUUGGAUGGACUCGCGGCCUAUCAGCUUGUUGGUGAGGUAAUGGCUUACCAAGGCGACGACGGGUAGCCGGCCUGAGAGGGUGACCGGCCACACUGGGACUGAGACACGGCCCAGACUCCUACGGGAGGCAGCAGUGGGGAAUAUUGCACAAUGGGCGGAAGCCUGAUGCAGCGACGCCGCGUGAGGGAUGACGGCCUUCGGGUUGUAAACCUCUUUCAGUAGGGAAGAAGCGAAAGUGACGGUACCUGCAGAAGAAGCGCCGGCUAACUACGUGCCAGCAGCCGCGGUAAUACGUAGGGCGCAAGCGUUAUCCGGAAUUAUUGGGCGUAAAGAGCUCGUAGGCGGUUUGUCGCGUCUGCCGUGAAAGUCCGGGGCUCAACUCCGGAUCUGCGGUGGGUACGGGCAGACUAGAGUGAUGUAGGGGAGACUGGAAUUCCUGGUGUAGCGGUGAAAUGCGCAGAUAUCAGGAGGAACACCGAUGGCGAAGGCAGGUCUC